CGUCGCGCCGGAGAGCGCAGUGGCGGCGGCGGGAAAGGGUUGCGGACCCGCGGCGCUCACUCGACGACGCGGCCUGGGCCUCGACGCCCGGCUCCAGCUUCAGAAGCAGUAAGAAGACAUUCUGUUGGAUAAUAGGAAGAACUGUAGAAUUUGCAGAUGUCAACCCUGGCCUUACUAAACACAUGGAUAGCACCAAUGCCAAACAGACAGUCCUAUUACUGCUGGAUUUGCAAGAUUUUUAAUCCUGUUUUCUUUGAAUUAUGAUUUAAAUAUCAAAAAUAUUAAAUUUUUUUAAAAAGGGAAAUAUUUUAGUUUUGGAAGUCAGAAUGCCAAGGAAAAGGAAAAAUCUUGGGGGAAAUCCUUUUCGGAAGACUGCAAACUCUAAGGAAGUUAUCGUGUCCAGUGUUGCUAGUCAUGAGGAGCCAACUGCUACCCUUCCUUCCAUGUGUGAAACAAAAAUUGAUCAGGAAGAACUCUUCACCAGUGUCUCAGAGAUGUUUUCUGAACUGGAUCCUGAUGUAGUGUAUUUGAUGCUUUCUGAAUGUGAUUUCAAAGUUGAAAAUGCCAUGGAUUGUCUCUUAGAAUUAUCUGCCACUGAUGCCAAGAUAGAAGACUCAUCUUCACAAAGUUCUCUUGCGUGUGAGAAUAUGCCAAGUGGGUCAGGAAGUGGAAUAAUGGAGAAAUGUCCUCCUGAAGAAGAGAGUGAAGAUUCAAAAAUGGACUCAUUUUUGGAUAUGCAGCUAACUGAAGACUUGGAUUCCUUAAUACAGAAUGCUUUUGAGAAAUUGAAUUCUUCUGAUGACCAAGUCUAUUCAUUUUUGCCUUUGCAAGAUGUUAAUAAUUUCAGUGACCCUACUACGUUUAUGAAUUCAGAUUCAAAUAGUAUGACUCCUGUUUUUCCUGUACAAAAUGUGGGUUCAAAUAGUGAAAAUUUUAAGAAUUCUGCCUCUGCAUUAAGUUCAAACCCAUUAACUUCAGAUUCAUUUUUGAGUGAGUCUGAAAGUUUUAUAAAUGAUACCACGUUGGCAUUAGAAGGUAACUACCCAGAAGGGUCUCAUCUCAGUAGUUCUUUAAAUCCCCAAAAUGACUCUGUUGUGGGUUGUGGCAGUAUUAGCCAAACACAAAAAGAUCAUUUAGAAUCUGAGUGUGCUAAUGCUCAACUUUCUCUGACUCCUGUAGAGUUGGGUACCAUUGAACCGCAGGUUCCUUCAAAUCUUCCUCUGCAAAAUCCAGGGCUUGAUUUAUCAGGUACUGAUGGAGGUCAGAAAUCUACUUCUGUGUCUGAUGUUUUUGUACCCUCUGAAGGGUUCAAUUUCAAGCCACACAAACAUCCUGAACUGCCACCAAAGGGGAAGGAUGUGAAUUACUGCCCAGUACUUACCCCUCUUCCUUUGCUCCUUCCUCCUCCUCCACCUCCACCAAUUUGGAAUCCAAUGAUUCCUGCUUUUGACCUCUUUCAAGGAAAUCAUGGCUUCGUAGCUCCUGUUGUAACCACAGCUGCACACUGGAGACCUGUCAACUACACGUUUCCACCCUCUGUCAUUUCUCAUACUUCCCCAACAAAAGUGUGGCGAAAUAGUGAGGGAGCAAGUGCUUAUCAAGUGCAAGAGACUCCAGUUUCUCAGCCUGUAAGAAAGAAGACAACAUCCUACGUUGGACUAGUUCUUGUUCUUCUCAGAGGGCUCCCGGGUUCAGGAAAAUCUUUUUUGGCAAGGACUUUGCAAGAGGAUAAUCCAAGUGGCGUCAUUCUUAGUACUGAUGAUUAUUUUUAUAUAAAUGGACAGUACCAGUUUGAUAUAAAGUACUUAGGAGAAGCCCAUGAAUGGAACCAGAAUCGUGCAAAAGAAGCAUUUGAGAAGAAAGUAUCUCCAAUAAUCAUUGACAAUACAAACCUACAGGCAUGGGAAAUGAAGCCGUAUGUUGCCUUGUCUCAAAAGCAUAAAUAUAAAGUCCUUUUCCGGGAACCAGACACAUGGUGGAAGUUCAAACCAAAGGAACUUGCAAGGCGUAAUAUUCAUGGGGUAAGCAAAGAGAAGAUAACAAGAAUGCUGGAUCACUAUCAGCGUUUUGUUUCAGUGCCAAUAAUCAUGAGUUCCUCGGAUCCAGAGAAAACUGAACGCAUUGAAUUGUGUGCAUAUUCUUAUGAAGAUGGAAGUCCUAGCCCAAGAGACAAUGAAGAUAUUACCUCUGAAAAAGAAAAUGUUUUAUCCUCGACUUUGAAGCAUUUAGAGUUCAUUACAGAGAAUAAUCUUGUUGUGGCCAAGAACACAGGAGUAGCUGAGAAUGUUGCAGACCUCCCCAGUGCAGACUUAGACAAAGGACAACAAGAGAUCAGUGACGUGAGUCAGAGCAUUCAGGGCUCCUUUCAGGAGGCUCCAAAGACACAUGUCUCUAACUCUGAGAGCAAAGGAAAAGCAUCAGGUAGAAGUGAAAUAGAACAAGUAGAAAGGACAUCUGAAAAAGAGUGUACUGACAGAGAUGCCCAUAGUCCUGCAGAGAGCCCAUCACUGAGUGCUUGCUGUAGUGAAAGUAAUCAAGACAAUUGUGAUCUUACAAAUGCUGUUCCACUUCAAAAUGAAAGAGCUUCACCUGCUGAAGUACUAGAAGAAAGAACAGGAAAGAAGAAAGCUAUCGGAAAACAAAAGAGUAAAUCAUCUUUGGAAAAGUUCCCAAGAAAUGAACUAUCAAAUUUUGUUGGUGACUGGCCAGUUGAUAAGACUAUUGGCCAGAGGACCAAAAGGAGCCGAAAAACUGAAAAAGCUUCAUCUGUACAGAGUGAUAAAAAGUAUAAUCGUCCUCAGUCACACAAAGUGCUAGACACUAAGGUAUCUGUAAAUACAGAUCGUAGCCAGCAACAAGGAUCUCCACAUGGAAAUGAUUUUUCAGAAGUCCCUAAUAGCUAUGAGUAUGAUACUUACAAAAGUACUGAUCAGACCUCAUUCAGCAUUGUGGGUGACUGGCCUUCAGCUGCUUCUUUAGCUCAAAGAGAGCAUAGAUCAAGAAUACCCAAAGCUGGCUUAAGUGAACCCAACUUAGAAUUUGGAACUAAUGACAAUCUAGGUGAAAUAUCCUUAUAUACAGCACAUGAGGCCUGUUGGGGCAUGAGCCCUGAAGAACUGAAAACCUUGGGUUCUACUCUGCGAAGUUCUGAAAUGCUACCCUGUAAAACGACCCCUGAAAAUCAGACUUGUCUGAGCAAAAAGAUUCAUAGUCAGCGCACACUGCCUCUUUCCUUUGCCAGUAGUACAGCAACUAUUCCUGGAGUAAUAGGACCCCAAACUUUGGCGGAAUUUCCAAGGGAAGUAUCUCGAGAUGUGUCUGGAUUAGAUGUAGGCACGUGUACCCAGACUGAACCCCAAGAUUUUGCUCUCUUGUGGAAAAUAGAAAAGAAUAAAAUCACUGUUUCAGAUUCUGUCAGAGUAUUAACAGGAAAAUUAGAUGGUUUUAAGCCAAAAGAUUUCACUCUUAACACAAAAUCAAAUGUUCAAGAAACAAUUCCAUACAGGGUAAUGCAUGACAAAAGUACAUAUGUUGAAGAAAGUGAGCUUACCAGUGCUGAUGAAUCUGAAAAUCUUAACAUUCUUUGUAAACUAUUUGGAUCAUUUUCCUUAGAAGCCCUGAAAGACUUAUAUGAGAGGUGUAAUAAAGACAUUAUUUGGGCCACAAGCCUUUUGUUGGAUUCUGAGACUAAAUUAUGUGAGGAUACUGAAUUUGAGAAUUCCCCCAAAUCAUGCAAUGAAUCCCAAGUUGGGCCAUUUUCUAUGGGGUUGGAUUUGAAGGAAAUUAUUAGCCAAAGAGGAACCUCAGAAGAUUCCAAGUCUUCUGUGCCAGAGUUUAGUCCUGUGGUUGGUAUCAGUAACACUAACGCACAGUCUACUGGUAAUACAGAAAAUGAAAACUCAGAGCAGGAAGAAAUAAGAUCUAUAAAUCCUGAAAACCCUGAAUUAAUCACGGGAAUAUUUCCUUAUGCCACUAUGAAUGUAAAGAGUAAUAAUGAAAUAGUUCAUAUUAGUCGGGCUGAGCUUUCAGGUUUGUAUAGCUUUAAGCAGUCUCUUCCUCUUAUUUCCAAAUUGAAUAUCCCUAAAGAUGUUAGUGAAAUGGAGAAUAAUCUAGUAGCCACUGUGACUGGAGACAAUAUGCAUUCUUCUCUUCAUUUAUCUGAUAUUAUAAACUCUGCAACAAGCACUUCAAAUCUUGAAUUAAAUGAAGAAGUUUAUCUUACUGAGUCUUUGGAAGCAAAGAAAAAUGAAAAUCUUCCUAAAGAUUAUGUGAAAUUUUCAAAGAUAGAAGAAUUUAUUAAUGAAGAUAAACAGGAAAUGGAGAAAAUUCUAAUGCCAGGAACUAGUUUGUCUGUUGGAGUUAGUGAAGAGGAUAAAACCGAGACACUAAGUCCCAUGCCAGUGAUGGCCAAAUCUCUAACUAUAGACUGUCUGGAAUUGGCAUUACCCCCUGAACUGGCUUUCCAACUCUAUGAGUUAUUUGGCCCAGUUGGUAUUGAUUCAGGGUCUCUAACAGUUGAGGAUUGUGUGGUUCAUAUAGAUCUGAAUCUGGCUAAAGUGAUUCAUGAGAAAUGGAAAGAAUCUGUGAUGGAGCGACAAAGACAAGAGGAGGUAUCUUGUGGCAAGUGUGUACAAGAGCCUUCUCUGGCAGGACAUACUGUUCUUGACAAUCCUGAACAAAAAUCAACUCAGAAAACAGGCAAAAAAUUAUUGAAGACUUUAGCAGCAUCUGAAACAGUGCCCCUACUGGAUCACUGGAACACUCAAACUAAGAAAGUAUCACUUCGAGAAAUAAUGUCUGAAGAAAUUGCCUUACAGGAAAAACAUGAUUUGAAAAGGGAAACACUAAUAUUUGAAAAAGAUUGUGCCACGAAACUCAAGGAGAAGCAGCUCUUUAAAAUAUUUCCAGCCAUUAACCAGAAUUUUCUGGUGGACAUUUUCAGAGAUCACAAUUAUUCAUUGGAACAUACAGUGCAGUUUCUAAACUGUGUUCUUGAAGGAGACCCUGUGAAAACAGUUGUAGCUCAAGAUUAUGUUCACCAAAAUGAGAAUGUCAUUUCUCAUACUGCACAGAAAUCUAAAGAGAAAAAGACAAAGAAACCAAAGGAGACAGAAGAUACCCCCAGUGAGCCAUCUUUUCAGGAUUUUGAGUACCCAGAGUAUGAUGACUACAGGGCAGAGGCUUUCUUGCACCAACAGAAGAGGAGUGAAUGCUACAGCAAAGCGAAGGAAGCCUAUCGGAUGGGGAAGAAAAAUGUGGCCACCUUUUAUGCUCAGCAGGGUAGUCUUCAUGAGCAGAAAAUGAAAGAAGCUAAUCACCUCGCUGCUGUGGAGAUCUUUGAGAAAGUCAAUGCCUCCCUGUUGCCUCAGAAUGUUUUAGACCUCCAUGGGCUGCAUGUGGAUGAAGCUAUAGAGCAUUUGACAACAGUUCUACAGCAGAAAACUGAAGAAUUUAAACAGAAUGGCGGUAAGCCCUAUCUUUCUGUGAUUACUGGGAGAGGAAACCACAGCCAGGGAGGAGUUGCUCGAAUCAAACCAGCUGUCAUUAAAUACCUCACAAGCCAUAGCUUCAGGUUCUCAGAAAUUAAACCAGGGUGCUUGAAAGUCAUGCUAAAAUAAAACUUAAAAAGUCCUUGACUUAGAAGUCUGAAGGUUUGUAGGUUAAAAUUAAUUUUGUUUGCAGUAAUUCAGUCAGUUCUACUUGCAAAUGUGUUUUAUUAGUAAUACUGCCCAGUUAUAAAACAAGGAAAAUGUUUUUCAAAAUUCAAGAAAAGAUUUUUACUGGAUCAAAUGCCAAAUAAUUUAUUUGUUAAAAUAUUAAAGAGAAUUUUUAUUGUCACAGAAUGUCUAUGGAAAUUAUCAACUGCAAUUUUCAAGUCUGGAGUGCUCUAGUUCACAGAGCAGAAGUGCCGCCUUUGUAUGAAUUGUUGCUUGAUAAUUUGGUGAAGUCCUAAAAGUGUCUGUGAGAAGCAACAUGCUUUGAAACCUGGUUCUUGCCUUUCAAAAGCUUAUGUUCAAAGUAAUGGCAGUAGUAAAGAAAGAAAGGAGAUCCAACAAAAACACUUGAAAUUUUUGCUUUCAAAGCCAGACACAAAAUCAUUUCAUUUCACUAUGUCCUGCAGGCAGACACCAUUGUAUUUUCUUGUGCUUGUAUGGAAUCUUUAUCUCGUCCUUUUGUUCUGUUGUUCUUGUGUGCAUUUUCUGGGAGGAAAGUUGGGUCUGAAAGUUGGGGUUUCAUAAUUUCCAUAGUUAGAAAAACUUUCAGAGAAGGAGAAAUGGCUAGUUAUCCAUCAUAUGUUACUGCCUUAUAGAGCUUUCUAGAACUGUCUGUGAGUGGCACUUGAGGCAGUACUAAAUGGCUGUCUUUUAUACUUGAGACAUCAUUUCUAAACUAUAGUGAGCCAAAAUCCAAUUGACUUAAAUCAGAAAACAUUUUUGUUGUAACUGUAAAAGAAUUCUUUCUAAUUAGAAAUAUUUUUUACCUUUAUUUUUUAAAAGAGCCAUCUUUCUGGAAGAAAAGUUUCAUUGACUUGUGUUGGUUAGUUCCUGUUAGCUUGUACGUUCUACUUUUCUUUAUACAGGCUUAAUGUAAAUGUAAUUCUCCCAAUAUGAGACAGCAGUUAAGAUACAUUUAACUUUGGAUAUAUAGAAUAUUUUCAACAUAUAUAGUAUUGGCAUGUAGUUAUGUUACUUUUCUAUUGAGCUUGCAGAAUCAUCUUGAUCAGGAUUGCUAGGCUUGAGCUGCACCUAUAGCAUCUUGAUAGAAGGGCUCCCUAAGAGCAUGCAUUUUAAUGGAAAUAAAACUCAAAACCCUGUUUUUACAUAUUGUGAAUGCAUGCUUUUAAAAGAGCCUUAUCAUUGAAUUUUAUUUCCACAAAUAAGAAUCCAUUAUUUAGAAACGAUUAGUGAUGACUGAUGCUAAAUAAUCACUGAGUAUUAUUUUUAUAGUUUUAGAUUUUACUAAUUUGUUUUAAAAAUUACCAGUAGUGUAGCCCACUUUUUGUAAUGCUUGGAAGUGUUGUAUAUGUCAAAAAUAAAGCAGUUCUCCUACAGCUUAUUACAAAAAUCACAAUGAAAUGAAAAUGUGCCUAUGUACAAGUUAAUAUUACUUAAACAGUGAAAAAUAAUAGUGAUCCCUAGAAUUAUUGGUGUGCAGCUGCAUACUCAUUCUCUCACUUGUUUUUUUUUUAGACUUCAGAUAGGCUUAUUAGAAUAUUGUUAAAAUAAUUAAUAAGGGAGCAGUCAAAAGAAGUACAAGUGUGACCAUCUGUGGUUAGAAGUCAAAUGAAAAACCAGUGUUUUAAUACCUUAUCAACUUGUUUUGAAUUGAAUAGAGAAACAAGGCUAGAACAUGCCUGCAUCCUGAAGAGCCUGUGUAACCUCACAUUAUAGGAUGACAAAUUGUAUUAUGUUCCUUAAAGUUGAGCAGUUGACUUUCGUGGUCCAAAUGAUGAGCCUGUUAUUAAUAAGUGAUUGAAUUAACACUGAGACUUCUCAUUAAAAUGCAACAUUGCAGCAGUCGGUUGAAGAAUAUAUUAUAAACUUUUCAGACAGUAUAUCAGAAACAAAAUGUUUUUAUUUGUACUAUAAAGAAAAUGUAAUUUUUGCUGUUAACUCUGUACUUUUUUAUUGAAAAUGUUUAUAACUUUGCUUUUAGAAUUUCUUACAAACCAUUUGCAAAUUACACACUUAAUUUAAUAAAAUACUUUAGUCACAGUCAAGUGUGAGGAAAUCCUUUGUUUGAUGUGGUAGGUUUAGUGGCUUAAAUAUUAAAGACUAUUUUUGCAUGUAUCUUUGUAAUUCCAUGGGAACAGUGUCAUAAAAUUUUCAUUUCUGUACAACUGUUCUAACUUAUUUUGCUUUUUCAAACAGAGGUCCACUUUGCUCUAAGUGGAUCAGAUGAGCCUUCUCUUUACAUCCUUGUAUCUUUUGAUCAACAUCAAAAUCAACAGUAUUAUUUGUGUCUAGGACACAAAUAAUACUUUCAGUAACAUCAGCUUUAUUCAUCUCAAAAAAGUAGAAUAAUUCAGUUGUCAAAGAUGUUAAAAUAUUUAUUCAUUGAAUACUUAUUGAGCAAUUGUUACUGAAGAUAUAGUGUAAAACAGCUUCUAUCCACAGGUACUGUGUAAUUAUUCUCACCAGCUAAUAUGUGUAUAGAGAUUUAUAGUGUGCUUUCUUAUGUAUUAAUGUAUAAAUCUCUAGGGAAUCUUACUACAUAGAUGGUGCUAUGCCAACCCAAUGGAUAGAGACAUAAAGGACUAGAGAUGUUAACUGGCUUCCCAGUUAGUGACAGAGGUACAACGUCAACCUAGAUUCUCUGAUUUCUCGUGUGUAACAGCUGCACGUGUUGUAAAAAUCACAGUCAAAAAGAGAUGGCUGGUUAGCAUGUCUGAAAAGCUGCCAUUUAUGAAGCUGCCUUCCUUAUCCAAAGAACAGUAUUUCAGGGGAAACCAAGUACAGUUGACAAAAGAUAAAGGUGUAUUUCCCUCUUAAUAUUAAACCCUAAAGAUAAAGGCUCUAGGACUGAUGGAAGUGCUCUUUUCCAUGAAGUUUUUUUUGGGGGACUUGUGGUCUUUUUAGUUCCCUACCAUGCCUAGGGUGUGACAACUCAUUUUUUUCUAGGCAGGGGAGGAGGCUAAAGCUCUGGCUACCACAUCUGUAGUCUGUUAGAGGAAGGACUAAGUAGUGAAGGAUAAAGCCAGCAGUCUGAGAGACUGGAAGCUGCUGUAGGACAGCUGUCUGCAUCCUUCUAACCAAAACUUAGUCAUGUGGUCACAUCUGCCUGCAAGGAAGGCUGGGAAGUUAUCUGUUUCAGGCUGUCUUAGUUCAGUUCAGCUAAAUACCAAGUGCUCUCUUAAAGAGAGUGGAGAUGAAGGGAAUGAAUAGCAGCUUCUGCCUUGUCAGUUUUUACCACGAUGUACAAACAUGUGAGAAUUAGUUCUUGAUGCAUUCCUUCAACAGGUUAUUGAUAAAUUCCCAAACUAAAAGUAAUAUAAAGGAAAAAAAAUCACAGUUCGAUGUGUUAUGACUUUAAAUAUUCAAAUAAUCUUAGUAACUAAUUGAGGAAAUGGAUUUUCAGGUGAUGUCUUUAAUGGAGAUGGGAUCACUUUUGAUUAGAUAACUUACUUGUGGCAGCUAGGUUAGGCCCGUAGGUUAUUUCUGGUGGCAAUAUGUAGUUAAUACAUUUGCUUCCUCUUUUAAUUAUAUCUACAUGCAAAAGCUCAAUAGGUGGUACAUAUGAUUUAUAGAAAGUAAACCAGGCUAGAAGCUAUGACUCCAUCUGUGAGUCAGAAAUGGCAUAUAAAGAGUGAACUGUGGAAGUGUGAAGGAGAAGAUAAUUGUUUUUGCAGAUGAUGAACUUAAACACUGUUCUCCUGCUUAAAAUGUAUAAUGAAAUGUCUUUGUGUAGGAAAAGGUUUUAAACACUUGAAAGUCCCUAUCUAUGAUAUUUAUCUGAGUAUAUAAACUUGGCACCUUGCAGGAGUUCUGGAGCAUUCUUCCUGGUGACCUCGACUUCUUGCUUUUGUUAGAGAUUAGUCUUACUAUUUAAAGAAAUAUUAGCUUUUUAAUGUUACUGAAGUUUCAAAAUAUCAACAGAUUUCUUACACAAGGGGUGGAGAGAUGACAGAGGGUAUGGGCCAUCAAUGGUUCUAUCUCUUGUCAGAUGCAGGAGCAGCUGCAGGCUGUGAAGUAGGGUGAUGAAUGGGGUGAUAGAGUGAUCACUUAGUUAUGAGGUAUUGCAAAACAAUACUGAAUAAAAUUUGUUUCCAUGGAUUGAAAGACAUCAGGUUCUUUUAGACAGGAAGCUGUGAAAACAUGUCUAAAUAACCUGUAUUUGAUUUUGAACUUCAUGUUGUUAGUUGUGUAGAUUGUGCUUGAUUGUAUUAAUGAUAUAACAAGUGGCAUUCUAUUAGAAAUGGCAUUCUAAAAUGUCCUUACCUACAGCAUUUUGGGAAAUUAGGGAUGGCCUGUAAUGAAAAUAAAAAGCAUGAAUGGCAUCUAACACAAGUUGUACUCACAUUGUUGGGGAGGAUUGCAGUCGCUAAGCUAAUUAGGAAGAGAACUAAGUGACAUACAGAGCUCAGUCAGUGCUCCUGGAAGGCUGUGUGUAAGUUAGAACAUGCUUCUGGUAUUGCUAUUUCAACCUGCUCUGUGUAAUGCAGGAUAUAUGUGCAAUAUAUGCAUGUUUUAUAGUUACAUACUCAGACUGACCCACGGGUAAUUGGGAAACAAAAAUUCUGGACGGAAGUAUUAAUGCUAAAAACACUUUACAGUUGGUAAGUUAGUAGGAGCUUAUGCCAAAGUCCAAGUGAAAGCACUUUGAGACACUUGCAAAAGGCACCUCUGAUCCUGACUCACUUUGAGCUUGGGUCACAGGAAGACAAAGGCCAGCAAACUUAAAUACUAAUAAGAGACACCCUUAAAUACUAAUACUAAUAAGGCCUUCACCCAUGAGGGAUCGAGGAUAAGUCAAAUAAUUUUGUCUUUUCACUGGCAGAAAAGACUGUAAGGAAUGUUCUCUUGGCCCUGAGCAAAGUUUUAGUCUGUGAUUUUUCAAAGAUUAACAACACAAAGUCACAUAACUCAGGGUAGUACAAAAGCAACCAAAUGCCCUUCUCCCCCAGAUUUUCACACUAUGAGCUGAGUUUAAGAGGUCCCAGCCUAGUAAUGCCACUCUUAACUGCCUGGCAGAGGCAGAUGCAGAUCUCAGAAAAGGCACCUUCAUCUUGAUGGAAUAAGUCUAAUGAAGCCUGUGUACCCAGCAGUUUAUAAGAAUUAUGGAAGACAGAAGUAUGAAAUAUGUCAAACAAUCAUCAGGAUACAAUCACCAAAAUACAGAGUGGGAAGCAAACAACACGAUUUCUUCAAAACAGUGCGCAUCGAAUAGAACCUCAGAGAUAAAGGGAGAACUUACCAGGACUCAAAAGGUGUAAACCAUUGCAGUUUGUGGAUGUCAAUGAGAUACUGGCUCAGCAAAGCAAAACAAAUUGUACUACAAUAAAGAUGAUUGGCAUUGUGA
This is an RNA transcript of Nannospalax galili (Upper Galilee mountains blind mole rat), 11019 nucleotides long. It is a transcript of the gene named NEDD4 binding protein 2, with no coding region annotated. The record is from RefSeq and is a predicted model, not a curated record. The transcript is spliced from 19 exons. NCBI's taxonomy places the organism in Eukaryota, Metazoa, Chordata, Mammalia, Rodentia, Spalacidae.